CGCUGAAGCUGGUGCUUGCACCGAGCGGAUGAGUUGCGAACGGGUGAGUAACGCGUAGGUAACUUGCCUCUUAGCGGGGGAUAACUAUUGGAAACGAUAGCUAAUACCGCAUAAAAGUUGACAUUGCAUGAUGUUGAUUUGAAAGAUGCAAUUGCAUCACUAAGAGAUGGACCUGCGUUGUAUUAGCUAGUUGGUGAGGUAACGGCUCACCAAGGCGACGAUACAUAGCCGACCUGAGAGGGUGAUCGGCCACACUGGGACUGAGACACGGCCCAGACUCCUACGGGAGGCAGCAGUAGGGAAUCUUCGGCAAUGGGGGCAACCCUGACCGAGCAACGCCGCGUGAGUGAAGAAGGUUUUCGGAUCGUAAAGCUCUGAUGUAAGUCAAGAACGAGUGUGAGAGUGGAAAGUUCACACUGUGACGGUAACUUACCAGAAAGGGACGGCUAACUACGUGCCAGCAGCCGCGGUAAUACGUAGGUCCCGAGCGUUAUCCGGAUUUAUUGGGCGUAAAGCGAGCGCAGGCGGUUAGAUAAGUCUGAAGUUAAAGGCUGUGGCUUAACCAUAGUACGCUUUGGAAACUGUUUAACUUGAGUGCAGAAGGGGAGAGUGGAAUUCCAUGUGUAGCGGUGAAAUGCGUAGAUAUAUGGAGGAACACCGGUGGCGAAAGCGGCUCUCUGGUCUGUAACUGACGCUGAGGCUCGAAAGCGUGGGGAGCAAACAGGAUUAGAUACCCUGGUAGUCCACGCCGUAAACGAUGAGUGCUAGGUGUUGGGUCCUUUCCGGGACUCAGUGCCGCAGCUAACGCAUUAAGCACUCCGCCUGGGGAGUACGA
This 835-nucleotide ribosomal RNA is filed under the name uncultured Streptococcaceae bacterium. Its description in RNAcentral is "SSU rRNA". It matches the Rfam family "Bacterial small subunit ribosomal RNA", at positions 65 to 885 of the family's 1533-position model. The record is from RNAcentral. Lineage: Bacteria; Bacillati; Bacillota; Bacilli; Lactobacillales; Streptococcaceae.